Punica granatum (pomegranate) is the source of this 766-nucleotide non-coding RNA. The record is from RefSeq and is a predicted model, not a curated record. Lineage: Eukaryota; Viridiplantae; Streptophyta; Magnoliopsida; Myrtales; Lythraceae.
GUGAAGAUUCAUUGGAUCCGGGUCUAGGUUGUGACGCUUCAGCAGCUCUGCCACGAUGCCUAGGGCGUGCUGGACGAGUUUGAGGUCGAAGCUCUCCGGAAGCAGGCGGGGGACCACGGAAGUUUCAGACUGAAGAGAUUUUGAUGAGCCCAAGUGAAAACACGGACCCUGAAGUUAUCUCAGUAGUGAGGAUCGGGGGCAUCGAAGACAACUCUUACUACAGUUGUAUUCCUCGACGAAAAAUUUGGACCAGUACUUCGAGCUCCAGGUGUGAGUUUAAACGCAAGUAGAUUUCCAGAAUCAAAAACAUCCUAACGGACGUUGUUGAAUCUUUGAUGCCCUCCAAACACCUAAUGUGACCAUCGGAAGAUGGUGGAACUGCAGAUCCACCUUUGAAGCAUGUUGAGGAAAAAAGGAAAGAGAGUCUGUUUUGCACAAGCCAAAAGGCCGAGUUGGAAGCCGAGGCAUCUGAAAUUUCUUCACCAGUGCAGUCACUCCAAUCGAUUAUCGGGAGGCUUCCUAGUUCAGACUGCGAGCUCUAUAGAACCUGCAGAGCUUGGGGUUUUGCCCCUGGACAUUGCUUCUCCCGUGUUCGAGGCCUCGGAAAUGAUCCGUCUUGAAAUUUCUUUGUCAUUUCAUAAAAUGAUCCGUCUUAGUUCUUGAAACCUGCUCCAUUUAUUUUCCUAUUCAGUCAGCCAUCGACUUACUAUACAGUUAAAAGGGUAAGCACUGCACCGAAGACAGAUCAAUGUUGCUGUUGUUCAAA